GACGGAGGGGGCUAGCGUUGUUCGGAAUUACUGGGCGUAAAGAGCGCGUAGGCGGCUUUACAAGUUGGAAGUGAAAGCCCGGGGCUUAACCUAGGAAUUGCUUUCAAAACUGUAGAGCUAGAGUGUAGUAGGGGAUGAUGGAAUUCCUAGUGUAGAGGUGAAAUUCUUAGAUAUUAGGAGGAACACCGGUGGCGAAGGCGGUCAUCUGGGCUACAACUGACGCUGAGGUGCGAAAGCGUGGGGAGCAAACAGG
This 253-nucleotide ribosomal RNA is filed under the name uncultured bacterium. RNAcentral's name for it is "partial 16S ribosomal RNA". It matches the Rfam family "Bacterial small subunit ribosomal RNA", at positions 524 to 776 of the family's 1533-position model. The record is from RNAcentral.